AACUUUCGACAAUGGAUCACUUGGCUCUCGCAUCGAUGAAGAACGCAGCGAAUUGCGAUAAGUAAUGUGAAUUGUAGAUUUUCAGUGAAUCAUCGAAUCUUUGAACGCACCUUGCACCCUUUGGUAUUCCGAAGGGUAUGCUCGUUUGAGUGUCAUUGUACUCUCACACUCUCUGAUCUUUUUGGAUUCAGAGAGCGGUGGACUUGGGUGUUUGCUGCUUACCUUGCAGCUCACCUCAAAUGCGUCAGUGCAUCUCUUGGUUGGACAUAGUACGGCGUGAUAAGUAUCUUCGCCGGCACCUCGCAAGAGGGUGGCCGAUUGGGAGCUCUGUGCUUUCAAACCGUCUUCGGACAACUUUUGACAACUUGACCUCAAAUCGAGUAGGACUACCCGCUGAACUUAAGCAUAUCAAUAAGCGGAGGCU
This 424-nucleotide unclassified non-coding RNA is filed under the name uncultured Sebacina. RNAcentral describes it as "sequence contains ITS2". The stretch from base 1 to 155 matches the Rfam family "5.8S ribosomal RNA". The record is from RNAcentral. Lineage: Eukaryota; Fungi; Basidiomycota; Agaricomycetes; Sebacinales; Sebacinaceae.